RNAcentral lists this unclassified non-coding RNA (258 nucleotides) under fungal sp. RNAcentral describes it as "partial internal transcribed spacer region". The stretch from base 1 to 46 matches the Rfam family "Eukaryotic small subunit ribosomal RNA", at positions 1786 to 1831 of the family's 1831-position model. Lineage: Eukaryota; Fungi. The record is from RNAcentral.
AAGUCGUAACAAGGUUUCCGUAGGUGAACCUGCGGAAGGAUCAUUCUUGUAUUGUUUGCUUUUAUAGCAAUCUACAAUCUACUAUGUGAACUGUUUAUGCGUGCUUGCGCAAGGACUAUUGAUCAGUGCUCUCAGGGGGUGCUGGAUGAUGGGAAUUGCGCGGCCGUAAUAAAACCAUAUAAUCAACUCAAUAUCUUAAGUCUUGUAAAUACAAACAAAAAACAAAAACAACUUUUAGCAACGGAUCUCUAGGCUCUC